RNAcentral lists this transfer RNA (88 nucleotides) under Bermanella sp. 47_1433_sub80_T6. Its description in RNAcentral is "tRNA-Ser". It matches the Rfam family "tRNA". From Rfam's summary of the family: Transfer RNA (tRNA) molecules are approximately 80 nucleotides in length. Their secondary structure includes four short double-helical elements and three loops (D, anti-codon, and T loops). The record is from RNAcentral. Lineage: Bacteria; Pseudomonadati; Pseudomonadota; Gammaproteobacteria; Oceanospirillales; Oceanospirillaceae.
GGUGAGGUGUCCGAGUGGCCGAAGGAGCACGCCUGGAAAGCGUGUAUACCGCAAGGUAUCGAGGGUUCGAAUCCCUCCCUCACCGCCA